Molecule: ribosomal RNA, 491 nt
Filed under: uncultured bacterium
Lineage: Bacteria
Description: partial 16S ribosomal RNA
Rfam family: Bacterial small subunit ribosomal RNA
Source: RNAcentral
CGUGCACGCUGGCGGUAGGCCUAACACAUGCAAGUCGAACGGCAGCACAGUAAGAGCUUGCUCUUACGGGUGGCGAGUGGCGGACGGGUGAGGAAUACAUCGGAAUCUACUUUUUCGUGGGGGAUAACGUAGGGAAACUUACGCUAAUACCGCAUACGACCUACGGGUGAAAGCAGGGGAUCUUCGGACCUUGCGCGAUUGAAUGAGCCGAUGUCGGAUUAGCUAGUUGGCGGGGUAAAGGCCCACCAAGGCGACGAUCCGUAGCUGGUCUGAGAGGAUGAUCAGCCACACUGGAACUGAGACACGGGCCAGAGUCCUACGGGAGGCAGCAGUGGGGAAUAUUGGGCAAUGGGCGGAAGGCUGAUCCAGGCAUAGCGCGUGGGUGAAGAAGGCCUGCGGGUUGUAAAGCCCUUUUGUUGGGAAAGAAAAGCAGCAGGUUAAUACCCCGCUGUUCUGACGGUACCCAAAGAAUAAGCACCGGCGAACUGCGU